Hymenopellis radicata is the source of this 92-nucleotide non-coding RNA. NCBI's taxonomy places the organism in Eukaryota, Fungi, Basidiomycota, Agaricomycetes, Agaricales, Physalacriaceae. The record is from the annotation of a GenBank genome assembly.
UCGGAUAUGGUGUAAUGGCCAACAUUGCCGCCUCUCAUAAGUGCACAAUGAUCUGUGCGCGGCAGCUCGGGGUUCGAUUCCCCGUAUCUGAA